Molecule: ribosomal RNA, 440 nt
Filed under: uncultured bacterium
Lineage: Bacteria
Description: partial 16S ribosomal RNA
Rfam family: Bacterial small subunit ribosomal RNA
Source: RNAcentral
CCUACGGGAGGCUGCAGUGGGGGAUAUUGCACAAUGGGGGGAACCCUGAUGCAGCGACGCCGCGUGGGUGAAGAAGCGCCUCGGCGCGUAAAGCCCUGUCAGCAGGGAAGAAAAUGACGGUACCUGAAGCAGAAGCCCCGGCGAACUACGUGCCAGCAGCCGCGGUAAUCAGGAGGGGGCACGCGGUAUCCGGGUUUACUGGGUGGAAAGGGGGCGCAGACGGCGAUGCAAGCCAGGAGUGAAAGCCCGGGGCCCAACCCCGGGACUGCUCUUGGAACUGCGUGGCUGGAGUGCAGGAGGGGCAGGCGGAAUUCGUGGUGUAGCGGUGAAAUGCGUAGAUAUCAGGAGGAACACCGGUGGCGAAGGCGGCCUGCUGGACUGCAACUGACGUUGAGGCCCGAAAGCGUGGGGAGCAAACAGGAUUAGAUACCCGAGUAGUC